Molecule: ribosomal RNA, 654 nt
Filed under: uncultured bacterium
Lineage: Bacteria
Description: partial 16S ribosomal RNA
Source: RNAcentral
ACGGUUACCUUGUUACGACUUAGCCCCAGUCACCGGUCUUGCCUUAGGGCGCUCCUUGCGGUCACGCACUUCAGGCACUCCCGGCUUCCAUGGCUUGACGGGCGGUGUGUACAAGGCCCGGGAACGUAUUCACCGCGCCGUGGCUGAUGCGCGAUUACUAGCGAAUCCAGCUUCAUGGAGUCGGGUUGCAGACUCCAAUCCGAACUGAGACAGGUUUUCGGGUUCUGCGCCGGGUCACCCCGUGGCUUCCCGCUGUACCUGCCAUUGUAACACGUGUGUCGCCCCGGACGUAAGGGCCGUGCUGAUUUGACGUCAUCCCCGCCUUCCUCACAGCUUGCGCCGGCAGUCCCGACAGAGUCCUCAACGCUACUUGUUAGCAACUGUCGGUAGGGGUUGCGCUCGUUAUGGCACUUAAGCCGACACCUCACGGCACGAGCUGACGACAACCAUGCAGCACCUCGUCAGUUGCCCCGAAGGGAAUAUCCGUUUCCGGAUACGUCAACUGACGUUUGAGCCCGGGUAAGGUUCCUCGCGUAUCAUCGAAUUAAACCACAUGUUCCUCCGCUUGUGCGGGCCCCCGUCAAUUCCUUUGAGUUUCACCGUUGCCGGCGUACUCCCCAGGUGGAAUACUUAACGCUUUCGCUGUAUCACCCA